This 786-nucleotide ribosomal RNA is filed under the name uncultured fungus. RNAcentral describes it as "eukaryotic LSU rRNA". It matches the Rfam family "Eukaryotic large subunit ribosomal RNA", at positions 24 to 664 of the family's 3401-position model. The record is from RNAcentral. Lineage: Eukaryota; Fungi.
CCCGCUGAACUUAAGCAUAUUAUUAAGCGGAGGAAAAGAAACUAACAAGGAUUCCCCUAGUAACGGCGAGUGAAGCGGGAAGAGCUCAAAGUGGAAAUCGAGUGUCCAAACGGGCCCUCGAGUUGUAAUCUAAAGACGCGUGUUCUGCGCGUGACCCAGACAUAAGUCCUUUGGGAGAGGGCAUCAUGGAGGGUGAGAAUCCCGUUCCUGGUCUGGAGAUCGCCGCGUACGAUACGCGUUCGACGAGUCGUGUUGCCUGGGAUCGCAGCACAAAAUGGGUGGUAAUUCUCAUCUAAGGCUAAAUAUUGGCGAGAGACCGAUAGCGAACAAGUAGCGUGAGCGAAAGAUGAAAAGAACUUUGAAAAGAGAGUUAAACAGUACUUGAAAUUGCUAAGAGGGAAGUUAUGGGAACCAGUCCAGCCCAGGGCAUUUUACUGCUCGUUGCGGCGGACCGCAAGGCGUCGGAGGUAAAACCCGUGCUUUGCGGUUGCAGCUGUAUCGUGUAGGUCGUGCAAUGGGAUUGAGUCAGCAUCAAUUCGAUUUGCCGGAGACACUUCAGGGGAAGGUGAGUCACGCGGGGUUCGCCUCGUUGUCGGCUGUUAAGCCCCUAGAGUAUACGGUGGGUUGGAUUGAGGAACAAGGUAGUUAGCUCUAGUUGCCUGCUGCGUAGGCUCGGCUUGGACAGCAAAGCUGUGCGGUCGGGAAUAUGCGGUACUGCAGCUGGUCCGCUAGCUGCCAAUCGGGAUGCUGACGAAAUGGUUUUCAUCGACCCGUCUUGAAACACGG